RNAcentral lists this ribosomal RNA (216 nucleotides) under uncultured prokaryote. RNAcentral's name for it is "partial 16S ribosomal RNA". It matches the Rfam family "Bacterial small subunit ribosomal RNA", at positions 524 to 739 of the family's 1533-position model. The record is from RNAcentral.
UACGUAGGCAGCGAGCGUUGUUCGGAAUUACUGGGCGUAAAGAGUGUGUAGGCGGUGCUCUAAGUUCGGUGUGAAAUCUCCCGGCUUAACUGGGAGGGUGCGCCGGAAACUGGAGUGCUCGAGCGUGGGAGAGGAAAGCGGAAUUCCUGGUGUAGCGGUGAAAUGCGUAGAUAUCAGGAGGAACACCGGUGGUGUAAACGGCUUUCUGGACCAUAA